UCAGACGAUGCGUCAUGCAUAUCAAUAAGCGGAGGAAAAGAAACUAACAAGGAUUCCCUUAGUAACGGCGAGUGAAGCGGGAAGAGCUCAAAUUUGAAAUCUUCAAGGUUUUACCUUGACGAAUUGUAGUUUAAAGAAGUGUUUUCUGCUGAAGUUUUGGUAAAAGUUCUUUGGAAUAGGACAUCAUAGAGGGUGAGAAUCCCGUAUUUGACCAUUAUUUUCAGCUUUGUGAUACACUUUCAAAGAGUCGGAUUGUUUGGGAAUGCAGUCCAAAAUGGGUGGUAAAUUUCAUCUAAAGCUAAAUAUUGGCGAGAGACCGAUAGCGAACAAGUACCGUGAGGGAAAGAUGAAAAGAACUUUGAAAAGAGAGUUAAACAGUACGUGAAAUUGUCAAAAGGGAAGCGUUUGACACCAGUGUUGUUUUCUCGAAAAUCAAUUAAAAAUGGCUCGAUUUUGUAUUGUUGAGACCUUAAAAGCUCACUGUACAUUUUUCGUGUCUUUUUUAAUGCACUUUUCGUUUAACAAGUCAACAUCAGUUUCUUUUGUUGUAAAAGGGUCAUUGGAAGGUGGCUUUCUUUUCGGAGAAAGUGUUUAUAGCCUUUGGCCUCUGCAAUCGGAAGAGACUGAGGUCUGCAGCGUAGACUCUUCGGGGUUAGAUACAUUUGUGCUAAGUUAUAGCUUUUUAUAGACAACUUGUUGACUAUAAUUAGUCUUGUAGCUUACUCGCUUAUGCUAUUUUACCUACGCUUAGGAUGUUGACGAUCAGCUGAGCGCG
This 775-nucleotide ribosomal RNA is filed under the name uncultured Neocallimastigales. RNAcentral describes it as "partial large subunit ribosomal RNA". It matches the Rfam family "Eukaryotic large subunit ribosomal RNA", at positions 18 to 625 of the family's 3401-position model. The record is from RNAcentral. Lineage: Eukaryota; Fungi; Neocallimastigomycota; Neocallimastigomycetes; Neocallimastigales.